Anguilla anguilla (European eel) is the source of this 887-nucleotide long non-coding RNA. RefSeq lists it as uncharacterized. The transcript is spliced from 4 exons. Lineage: Eukaryota; Metazoa; Chordata; Actinopteri; Anguilliformes; Anguillidae. The record is from RefSeq and is a predicted model, not a curated record.
UUUCAAAGCAGUAUUUCUGUAGCUUGUGAGGCAGGUUCUCCAGACACAGGGCGAGGAGCGGCGGGGGGAGAGGGCAGCCCCUGUGCAGGUGUUUCAGGAGCCUUGGGAUGCCUCCUGACCCGUGGAUGCGGCUCCUCCAAGACGCUGGAGUCACAAGGGACUGGAGAGGGAGGCAGCUGGGCCUGCGAAUGGCGGCAUGCAUGUCAGCUAACCUACAAGACAUCUUGAGCUGGAUGGCAAACCAUCAUCUGAAGAUGAACUAAAAUUGAGAUGCUAUACUUCCCUGCCAAGUCUUCCUUCCUGCUUGACCUUGACAGUGUCAGGCUCUUCAUAGGGUAUGGAUAUGCAUAAAAUGCCAGCAGCAAAUACCUACAUUUUCCACUUGGUGAAAACAGCGAAAGAAAAGAAAUAAGCAGCUCUUGUGUAUACCAGUGCUCAACCAAAACAAUGGAAAAAGCGCAUAAACAGCAUGAGAUAUUCUGCAGUUACCCUGGAGCCCCACAGACCUGGCUGUGUCCAUCAUCUGCACAGCUACUAUUCUUCUGCUUUUGCUUUUUAUUCGGAGUCCACAAAUAAUGGUGACUGCAUGUGGCGUAAGUGAUGUACCGUGGUAACAGCUAUACGUUACCACAGUAUUAUCUCACUGUACUCAAUGUGUCAUACUGUAAACAUAUGAAACAGGAAUAAAAAAUCAGCAUUGAGAUACAGAUGAGUAUGAUAGUUGGUAGUUUCUAUGUCAGUGUAUAGCAUAGGAAAAUACCACCAUUUUUGGUAUGCUUUUGAUCAUGUAUUACUCGCUUAAAGUUAACCAAUAAUUUAAAUAAUUGAAAAUCACAUUGAAGCACAAGGAAGCAGUUUUGCAUGUUUGCUCUCUUCCAAAAUUUUUC